CGAAAGCCUGACGGAGCAAGACCGCGUGAGGGAGGAAGGCUCUUGGGUUGUAAACCUCUUUUCUCAGGGAAGAAGCUCUGACGGUACCUGAGGAAUCAGCCUCGGCUAACUCCGUGCCAGCAGCCGCGGUAAUACGGAGGAUGCAAGCGUUAUCCGGAAUCAUUGGGCGUAAAGCGUCCGCAGGUGGCGAAUCAAGUCUGCUGUUAAAGACAGAAGCUCAACUUCUGAACAGCGGUGGAAACUGGUUUGCUAGAGUAUGGUAGGGGUUGAGGGAAUUCCCAGUGUAGCGGUGAAAUGCGUAGAUAUUGGGAAGAACACCAGUGGCGAAGGCGCUCAACUGGGCCAUAACUGACACUCAGGGACGAAAGCUAGGGUAGCG
This 379-nucleotide ribosomal RNA is filed under the name uncultured cyanobacterium. RNAcentral's name for it is "bacterial SSU rRNA". It matches the Rfam family "Bacterial small subunit ribosomal RNA", at positions 376 to 770 of the family's 1533-position model. Lineage: Bacteria; Bacillati; Cyanobacteriota. The record is from RNAcentral.